GUAGCAUACUGAUGGAGGGGAUAAGGUGUUGGUAGCAUACUGAUGGAGGGGAUAAGGUGUUGGUAGCAUACUGGUGGAGUGGAUCAGGUGUUGGUAGCACACUGGUGGAGUGAAUAAGGUGUUGGUAGCAUACUGGUGGAGGGGAUAAGCUGUUGGUAGCAUACUGGUAGAGGGGAUAAGGUGUUGGUAGCAUACUGGUAGAGGGGAUAAGGUGUUGGUAGCAUACUGAUAAGGAAGAAUAAGGUUCAGCAAGAACAGUGAUGUGUGAGGAAAGGCUAAGGUGUACAUAUUAUAAUGAUGGGGGACGAUAAGGUAAAGGUUUCAUACUGAUAGGUGAGGAUAAGGUGUAGAUAGCAUACUGGUGGGGAGGAUAAG
Long non-coding RNA from Oncorhynchus tshawytscha (Chinook salmon), 375 nucleotides. Lineage: Eukaryota; Metazoa; Chordata; Actinopteri; Salmoniformes; Salmonidae. The record is from Ensembl.